RNAcentral lists this ribosomal RNA (208 nucleotides) under Clostridioides difficile. Its description in RNAcentral is "partial 23S ribosomal RNA". It matches the Rfam family "Bacterial large subunit ribosomal RNA", at positions 305 to 514 of the family's 2925-position model. Lineage: Bacteria; Bacillati; Bacillota; Clostridia; Peptostreptococcales; Peptostreptococcaceae. The record is from RNAcentral.
ACAUAUCAUAACGAAGAGGUAUCGUAAUUGAAGAGGUUUGGAAAGACCCACCACAGAAGGUAAUAGUCCUGUAUGUUAAACGAGAAGACUUUAGAUAUGAUCCAGAGUACCACGGGACACGUGAAACACUGUGGGAAGCAGGAGGGACCACCCUCCAAGGCUAAAUACUACCUAGUGACCGAUAGCGUAUAGUACCGUGAGGGAAAGG